AUUGAACGCUGGCGGAAUGCUUUACACAUGCAAGUCGAACGGCAGCACGGACUUCGGUCUGGUGGCGAGUGGCGAACGGGUGAGUAAUACAUCGGAACGUGCCCAGUCGUGGGGGAUAACGUAGCGAAAGCUACGCUAAUACCGCAUACGAUCUAAGGAUGAAAGCGGGGGAUCGCAAGACCUCGCGCGAUUGGAGCGGCCGAUGGCAGAUUAGGUAGUUGGUGGGGUAAAGGCUCACCAAGCCGACGAUCUGUAGCUGGUCUGAGAGGACGACCAGCCACACUGGGACUGAGACACGGCCCAGACUCCUACGGGAGGCAGCAGUGGGGAAUUUUGGACAAUGGGCGCAAGCCUGAUCCAGCCAUUCCGCGUGCAGGAUGAAGGCCCUCGGGUUGUAAACUGCUUUUGUACGGAACGAAAAGGCUCUGGUUAAUACCUGGGGCUCAUGACGGUACCGUAAGAAUAAGCACCGGCUAACUACGUGCCAGCCGCCGCCGUAA
This 500-nucleotide ribosomal RNA is filed under the name uncultured bacterium. RNAcentral describes it as "partial 16S ribosomal RNA". It matches the Rfam family "Bacterial small subunit ribosomal RNA", at positions 30 to 523 of the family's 1533-position model. The record is from RNAcentral.